Molecule: ribosomal RNA, 257 nt
Filed under: uncultured bacterium
Lineage: Bacteria
Description: partial 16S ribosomal RNA
Rfam family: Bacterial small subunit ribosomal RNA
Source: RNAcentral
UACAGAGGUCCCGAGCGUUUGUUCGGAUUCAUUGGGCGUAAAGGGUGCGUAGGCGGUCUGUUAAGACCGAUGUGAAAUCCCCCGGGCUUAACCUGGGGAACUGCGUUUGAAACUACAAGGCUAGAGUGUGGCAGAGGGGGGGUGGAAUUCCACGUGUAGCAGUGAAAUGCGUAGAGAUGUGGAGGAACACCAGUGGCGAAGGCGACUUUCUGGCCUAUAACUGACGCUGAGGCGCGAAAGCGUGGGGAGCAAACAGG